GUCUGUUUUCUUGCAAAACAACAAUACAAGCUUGGCAUUUCAACACAUUUUAAAUCCGUUUUGAAUCCUCAGGCUCAGCUCCUAGUACAUAGUUCUGCUGCCCAGCUCAUUUAAAACACAUUUUGUAGGUUUCUGAGCUUUGGCAUCCUGCCGUAGAGCCCAGGUCCUCUGUGUCACCUGCUGUAGGGCAGCUCUUAACACUGCAGCAUCUGUGCACAGUGGCCUCCUGCCUUCCAGCCCCACAGGCCUGCGGGCUGACGGAUCCUGUGUGUGUUAAUGAUGAGGCCGGCACCGCAGCUACAGCUGGAGGACUGUAAGGGGGAUAUGAGAGGUCUUAGCUGGGGUCAGUCCAGCACAGGUGACCAUUGUCACAGCCAGCAGCACACAGACUUUCCUUCAAAGGCCCCAAGACCUCUCUUGACCCAAGCGUGGCCCCCAGGGGUGCGAUCACGGCAGCAUUUCAAUCAGCAAAGCAUGCAGAAGUCUGAAGGACAGUGGAGUGUGUUUGUGUGUGGGAUGACAUAUCUGAACUGGCAGACAUAUUUACAGACUGCGACAAUGAAGCUGUGCCUUUGCUGCGAUGAUAACUAGAAGUCAUAUUAUAUUUUUACCAUAUAAACAUUCACUGGCACUGAAAGCAGCAGCCUGUCUAGGAGUGAACAAGUCAUUUAUAACCUUUUGCCUUUAGACAGAACGCAAGCGAAGGCUGUCCGUGUUUCCCCACUCUCACUGUUCUUAUCUCCGUCUCUUUUUAAUUAUUUCAAAGAAUUAGGCUGGACAGACUUCAUUUAAAACUUUGCUUCAAUUUAAGUAGAUUUGGGUUUUACUGAUGCAGACUUUACAGUCUGGCAAAGUGCUUUGAGACAAAGUACUUCUUUCAUUUUCUUAGUGUCUUUUUAUCUAAAAAUACUGGGAAUGACUCAUGGGCCACAAUUAAUAAUUUAUUUGCAGAUACUUUUUCAAAUUUCCAGAUGAAAGUAGGUGGAAUGAAAAGUUGUUGAUCCAUUUGUAAACCAUUAAAUAUUUAUCUGGACUUUAUCCUUAUGAUAAUAGCUAUUAUUGGAUGCCCUGCCUGCUUUUAAUGGAAUAGUUCACCCAAAAAUGGAAGUUUGCUGGAA
Long non-coding RNA from Onychostoma macrolepis, 1118 nucleotides. RefSeq lists it as uncharacterized. The transcript has 3 exons. Lineage: Eukaryota; Metazoa; Chordata; Actinopteri; Cypriniformes; Cyprinidae. The record is from RefSeq and is a predicted model, not a curated record.